AGGUCAAGUUACUAAGAGCGCAGGGCGAAUGCCUUGGCACCAAGAGGCGAAGAAGGACGUAGAAAGCUGCGAAAAGCUCCCUAGAUCUGCAAACAAGAAACGAAAGGGAGAUAUCCGAAUGGGGCAACCCACUUAAGCAAACCUUAAGUAUCUAUAUAUGAAUAAAAUAGUAUAUAGAAGCAAUACCGGGAGAACUGAAACAUCUAAGUACCCCGAGGAAAAGAAAGAAACAUCGAUUUUCAAAGUAGCGGCGAGCGAAAUGGAAAGAGCCCGCUUAAAGAAAAACUAAAACAAUAUCCGAAUGAUCUUGGAAAAAUCAUCCAAAGAAAGUGAAAGACUUGUAGGAAAAGAUAUUAGAAUUUCAAUAAGCUUAACGAGUACCACAAGGCACGAGAAACCUGGUGGGAACACGGGAGGACCACCUCCCAAGGCUAAAUACUACUUGGUGACCGAUAGAGAAUAGUACCGUGAGGGAAAGGUAAAAAGAACCCCGAAAGGGGAGUGAAAUAGAACCUGAAACCCUGCGUUUACAAGCAAAGAAAGCACGUGAAAAGUGCAAUCUUGUACUUUUUGUAGAACGGGCCAGCGAGUUACUUUUGUAAGCAAGGUUAAGAAGUUAAGCUUCGAAGCCGAAGAGAAAUCAAGUCUUAAUAGGGCGAAAUAGUUUACAGGAGUAGACCCGAAACCAGGUGACCUAUCCAUGAGCAGAGUGAAGUUAAAGUAAAAUUUAAUGGAGGCUCGAACCGGGUGUGGUUUAAAACACAUCGGAUGACUUGUGGAUAGGGGUGAAAAGCCAAUCGAACCUGGAGAUAGCUGGUUCUCCUCGAAAUAGCUUUAGGGCUAGCCUUUAGGAUGUUUAAUGGAGGUAGAGCUACUGACUGGUUGCGGGGUGUUUAUACAUUACCAAAACCUAUCAAACUCCGAAUGCCAAGAAAACAAACCUAAGGAGUCAGACAUAGUGGGAUAAGCUUCUAUGUCAAAAGGGAAAGAGCCCAGACCAUCAGCUAAGGUCCCCAAAUACCGAUUAAGUGGUAAAGGAUGUGAAGUUACCCAAACAACUAGGAUGUUGGCUUAGAAGCAGCCAUACAUUUAAAGAGUGCGUAAUAGCUCACUAGUCGAGUGACCUUGCGCCGAAGAUUUCCGGGGCUAAAUCGGAUACCGAAGCUGUGGACUCGUAAGAGUGGUAGAGGAGCAUUGUGUAAUAGGCAGAAGCAGUAUCGAAAGGCGCUGUGGACGAAACACAAGAGAGAAUGCUGGCAUAAGUAGCGAGAAGGAGUGUGAGAAUCACUCCCGUCGAAAACCUAAGGGUUCCUGAGCAAGGCUCGUCCCCUCAGGGUAAGUCGGGACCUAAGGCGAGGCCGAAAGGAGUAGCCGAUGGACAACUAGUAAAAAUUCUAGUACUAUCAAAUAUCGUAUAAAUGAAGCGGGGACACAGAAGGAUAAGCUAAGCGUACCAGAUGGACGAGUACGCUCAAAUAAAAAGGCAUGCCAGGACUAAUAACCAGGCUAAGCCAAUUUAUGAUGAGGAUCGAAAACAAGUAGAGAAGUAGCCGAUUUCACACUGUCAAGAAAAGCCGCUAAAUAGAUAAAUGAUACCCGUACCGUAAACCGACACAGGUAGGAAAGGAGAGAAUCCUAAGACGCGCGGAAGAACCUUUGUUAAGGAACUCGGCAAAAUGACCCCGUAAGUUAGCGAGAAGGGGAGCCAGAGCGAUCUGGCCGCAGUGAAUAGGCCCAAGCGACUGUUUACCAAAAACACAAGUUUCUGCUAAGUCGAAAGACGACGUAUAGGAGCUGACACCUGCCCGGUGCUGGAAGGUUAAGGGGAAAUGUUAGC
RNAcentral lists this ribosomal RNA (1837 nucleotides) under Anaerosphaera sp. HMSC064C01. RNAcentral describes it as "bacterial LSU rRNA". It matches the Rfam family "Bacterial large subunit ribosomal RNA", at positions 1 to 1894 of the family's 2925-position model. Lineage: Bacteria; Bacillati; Bacillota; Tissierellia; Tissierellales; Peptoniphilaceae. The record is from RNAcentral.